AUACGUAGGUCCCAAGCGUUGCGCGAUCUCACUGGGCGUAAAGCGUCCCCAGCCGGUCCGGUAAGCGGAUUGUCAAAACCCGCGGCUCAACCGCGGUAGGGCAACCCGAACUGCCGGACUUGAGGCAAGCCCAGGCAGGCGGAAUUCCCGGUGUUGCGGUGAAAUGCGUAGAUACCGGGAGGAACACCAAAGGGGAAGCCAGCCUGCUGGGGCUGCCCUGACGGUCACGGACGAAAGCUGGGGGAGCAAACCGGAUUAGAAACCCUAGUAGUCC
This 274-nucleotide ribosomal RNA is filed under the name uncultured bacterium. Its description in RNAcentral is "partial 16S ribosomal RNA". It matches the Rfam family "Bacterial small subunit ribosomal RNA", at positions 523 to 796 of the family's 1533-position model. The record is from RNAcentral.